Molecule: long non-coding RNA, 655 nt
Filed under: Elaeis guineensis (African oil palm)
Lineage: Eukaryota; Viridiplantae; Streptophyta; Magnoliopsida; Arecales; Arecaceae
Description: long non-coding RNA (EGUI_LNC010972)
Source: RNAcentral
AGGAUCAUUUUGUGAAGGUUACUGUAAGCAUAUCAGCAUAGUCUUUUGGAGACGAUAAGCAUACAAGCCAGGAAAAAAUUCCAAGAGUCAAACUAUGAAUGAAUGGAUUCAACUUUGAGGCCGGUUCUAAUUUGCGGCUCUAUUUUAUUUUUCGUUGGGAGAGAACCAUCCAUGGAGCUUCAAGAAUUCAUAGUGGUAUGUAAUGAGCAUGGCAUCAUUCUACAAAAAGUUGUACUGAAAUUUUGGGAAGUCGACUCAUCCGAAAAAAAACUCAUCACAGGAUUUAAGAAUUGGUGGUCUUGGGUCUGAUUUAGCUCAUUAAUGCGCCUUAUUCUACUCUUCAAUGAAGAGUAGCCCUAGAAUUUUUUCUGUCCUUUGUUUGAGGGGCCUUCAAAGUGUGUCAACCUCUGCUAAGAUGCUCUUGGUCUUGGGUGACUUUCCUUGCUCUAAAUCUUUCUGUUCUGGAAAAUAUUUAAUUGUCUUUAUUGAGGACCUAUUGCUUGCUGCUUCAUCCUCUCUACUCCUGGGUAUGUGUUUGGCCAAAUGCGUACCGUCUAUUCUAGCGGAAGAGACAAGACCUUUAAGUGCCCCUUCACACAAAAUCAUGAAAUAAAAUGGAACAAGGCCGCACAUAAGCCUCUCGGAAGUGCUAUUG